This 450-nucleotide ribosomal RNA is filed under the name uncultured soil bacterium. RNAcentral's name for it is "bacterial SSU rRNA". It matches the Rfam family "Bacterial small subunit ribosomal RNA", at positions 26 to 518 of the family's 1533-position model. The record is from RNAcentral.
AGAACGAACGCUGGCGGCAUGCCUAAUACAUGCAAGUCGAACGAACACUUCGGUGUUAGUGGCGCACGGGUGCGUAACGCGUGGGAAUCUGCCCUUGGGUUCGGAAUAACAGUUGGAAACGACUGCUAAUACCGGAUGAUAUCGAAAGAUCAAAGAUUUAUCGCCCAGGGAUGAGCCCGCGUAGGAUUAGCUAGUUGGUGAGGUAAAGGCUCACCAAGGCGACGAUCCUUAGCUGGUCUGAGAGGAUGAUCAGCCACACUGGGACUGAGACACGGCCCAGACUCCUACGGGAGGCAGCAGUAGGGAAUAUUGGACAAUGGGCGCAAGCCUGAUCCAGCAAUGCCGCGUGAGUGAUGAAGGCCUUAGGGUUGUAAAGUCUCUUUUACCCGAGAUGAUAAUGACAGUAUCGGAAGAAUAAGCCCCGACUAACUCCGUAGCCAGCCAGCCGAC